RNAcentral lists this ribosomal RNA (253 nucleotides) under uncultured bacterium. RNAcentral's name for it is "partial 16S ribosomal RNA". It matches the Rfam family "Bacterial small subunit ribosomal RNA", at positions 524 to 776 of the family's 1533-position model. The record is from RNAcentral.
UACGUAGGGCGCAAGCGUUGUCCGGAAUUAUUGGGCGUAAAGAGCUCGUAGGUGGUUUGUUACGUCUUCUGUGAAAACCUAGGGCUUAACCCUGGGCCUGCAGUGGAUACGGGCAGACUAGAGGUAGGUAGGGGAGAAUGGAAUUCCCGGUGUAGCGGUGAAAUGCGCAGAUAUCAGGAGGAACACCGGUGGCGAAGGCGGGUCUCUGGGCCGUAACUGACGCUGAGGAGCGAAAGCGUGGGGAGCGAACAGG